RNAcentral lists this ribosomal RNA (838 nucleotides) under uncultured bacterium. RNAcentral describes it as "bacterial SSU rRNA". It matches the Rfam family "Bacterial small subunit ribosomal RNA", at positions 557 to 1392 of the family's 1533-position model. The record is from RNAcentral.
GGCGUAAAGGGUCUGUAGGUGGUUUGUUAAGUCAGAUGUGAAGGCCCAGGGCUCAACCUUGGAACUGCAUUUGAUACUGGCAAACUAGAGUAUGGUAGAGGAAUGGGGAAUUUCUGGUGUAGCGGUGAAAAUGCGUAGAGAUCAGAAGGAACACCAAUGGCGAAGGCAACAUUCUGGACCAAUACUGACACUGAGGGACGAAAGCGUGGGGAUCAAACAGGAUUAGAUACCCUGGUAGUCCACGCUGUAAACGAUGAGUACUAGCUGUUGGAUUCGGUGUAAAGGAUCUAGUGGCGUAGCUAACGCGUUAAGUACUCCGCCUGGGGACUACGGCCGCAAGGCUAAAACUCAAAGGAAUUGACGGGGACCCGCACAAGCGGUGGAGCAUGUGGUUUAAUUCGAUGCAACGCGAAGAACCUUACCUGGUCUUGACAUCCUGCGAACUUUCUAGAGAUAGAUUGGUGCCUUCGGGAACGCAGUGACAGGUGCUGCACGGCUGUCGUCAGCUCGUGUUGUGAAAUGUUGGGUUAAGUCCCGCAACGAGCGCAACCCCUAUUGAUAGUUACCAUCAUUAAGUUGGGUACUCUAUUGAGACUGCCGCUGACAAGGCGGAGGAAGGUGGGGACGACGUCAAGUCAUCAUGGCCCUUACGACCAGGGCUACACACGUGCUACAAUGGGUAUUACAGAGGGCAGCGAAGUAGCGAUAUGGAGCGAAACUCAGAAAGGUACUCUUAGUCCGGAUUGCAGUCUGCAACUCGACUGCAUGAAGUCGGAAUCGCUAGUAAUCGCAGGUCAGAAUACUGCGGUGAAUACGUUCCCGGGUCUUGUACACACCG